UUCGUACUGGAAGCCAGCAGGACACAUGCACUUGUAGCUCCCCAGCGUGUUGUGGCAGGAGGCUCCUCCGCAAAUGUGAGCACUGAGGCAUUCAUUUUCAUCUGCAGAAAAAACCAGAAGACACCGCACAUGUGAUACCAGCCAGAGGUUGCUAUGGAGGUGUCUGGAUCAGGCCACCUGCUGCCGGCCAGCUGGCCCUCCCCUAGGCUCUUGGGAAGGUGAAGAAAGCAAGACUCAGAAAGCCCCACCAAGAUCUCCCAGCAGCAGCCGCAGGGCAGAGAUGCACACCCAGACUUCUCGCCUGCCCUCGGCUCUACAAGGCUGAUCGGAAUGGAGCAUCCACAAGCUCCUCUCCUGUAUCCUGAGCUUUUGGUUGGGCUCAGCCAUCUGUUACCUGCUGAGACUCUGGCUGAUAAAACCUCUAAGGUCAUGAUGGGUCAGCUCCAACUUCAAGCUGCAAGUUUGAUAUUUUCUAGAAAGCAAUGAUAUCCGUGGCCCUUUACCCUAUAAACCCAUCCAUCUUCCAAGAGGGAACUUCUGGCUGCCUAGGAGCAAGGAUCCAGGGAGGGCUGGUCCAAGAGAUCUGCUCUGCAUGGCUCUGGGGAAGCCAUUCUGGCCCAAGGCAAUGCAGUGCUCAUUCUGGGACCUCUGCUGCCUCACUGAGGAAGAUCUGUCCAUUGGUGUCAUUAGGGUGUAAGUCUCUUACUAUCAUUGUAUUCCUGUCAAUUUCACCCUUUAUGUCUGUUAGUAUUUGUUUUAUAUAUUUAGGUGCUCCUAUAUUGGGUGCAUGUAUUAUUGAGCGUAAUAUACUCUUCUUGUAGUGAUCCCUUUAUCAUUAUAUAAUGUCCUUCUUUUUCUUUAUGGACUUUGUUUUAAAGUCUAUUUUGCCUGAUAUGAGUAUUCCUACCCCUGUUUUCUCGUCAUUUCCAUUUGCAUGAAAUAUCUUUUUCCAUCCCCUCACUUUCAAUCUGUGUGUCUUUCUCCCUGAAGUGAGUGUCUUGUAGGCUGCAUAUUAUAGGUUCUUGUUUUUUUUUUUUUUUUUGUGGUAUGCAGGCCUCUCACUGUUGUGGCCUCUCCCAUUGCGGAGCACAGGCUCUGGACGCACAGGCUCAGUGGCCAUGGCUCACGGGCCCAGCCACUCUGCGGCAUGUGGGAUCUUCCCAGACCGGGGCAUGAACCUGUGUCCCCUGCAUUGGCAGGUGGACUCUCAACCACUGCGCCACCAGGGAAGCCCUAGGUUCUUGUUUUUUAUCCAAUCUGCCACUGUGUCUUUCAAUCAGAGCAUUUAGUCCAUUGACAUUUAAAGUAAUUAUUGAGAGUUCCCUGACCAGGGAUAACACUCAUGCCCUCUGCAGUGGAAGCGUGGAGUCCCAUAACUGGACUACCAGGGAAUUCCCUCAAUAUUUCUUUUAAGAGAACAACAUCUAGACAUAUUUAACUCCUUGCUCCAUCUCAUGCCAUCAAGCUUGCCUCCUCCAGACAUCUCAUAAAUGAAUCACAGCAGAAGAUCCUUUUGAAGAAGCCCACUGGACAUUCACAUCGGAAGCUGCCAACCAUGUUGAUACACACGCCAUUUUCACAGACCCCUGGGAUCUCCCGACAUUCAUCGAUAUCUAGAAACAGAGCAGGCGGGAGCCAUCUUUGUACCCACCGGGCCCUGCGCACCAGAUGAGCAGAAUAAAAGUGACUGCCAAGAGAAAGUGGUCUCUCUACCCCAAGUGUGUGGUGGUGUUCGUCUAGAACGGGAGAGGAGAGCUGGUGAGGAACAGAGGAGGAGCCCAUGGUCACGGCCAGCUCUGAUCUUCCAAAUUCCACCUCAACGCCCCCUUUCUCCUUCACAUGGCUUUUGAAUGGAGUUGUCUAUAACUGACCCAGCCUUCAGAAAAGAAUUGAUGGCUUGAAAGACGUCGAGCACCUUGCUUUUCCGACUGCCGUUUACACAGCUGUUUCCAACACGAGCCUACCUGUACAAGUGAAGCCAUCGCCUGUGUAUCCUUCCUUGC
This is a long non-coding RNA of Globicephala melas (long-finned pilot whale), 2003 nucleotides long. RefSeq lists it as uncharacterized. The record is from RefSeq and is a predicted model, not a curated record. Lineage: Eukaryota; Metazoa; Chordata; Mammalia; Artiodactyla; Delphinidae.